This 70-nucleotide transfer RNA is filed under the name Leiodidae sp. BMNH 1274772. Its description in RNAcentral is "tRNA-Arg". The record is from RNAcentral. Lineage: Eukaryota; Metazoa; Arthropoda; Insecta; Coleoptera; Leiodidae.
UAAUAAGAAAUAAAAUUUAUAAUUAGUUUCGACCUAAUCUUAGAAGAUUCCCCCUUUUCUUCCUUAUUUU